GACGAACGCUGGCGGUGUGCUUAACACAUGCAAGUCGAACGGAAAGGCCCUGCUUUUGUGGGGUGCUCGAGUGGCGAACGGGUGAGUAACACGUGAGUAACCUGCCCUUGACUUUGGGAUAACUUCAGGAAACUGGGGCUAAUACCGGAUAGGAGCUCCUGCUGCAUGGUGGGGGUUGGAAAGUUUCGGCGGUUGGGGAUGGACUCGCGGCUUAUCAGCUUGGUGGUGGGGUAGUGGCUUACCAAGGCUUUGACGGGUAGCCGGCCUGAGAGGGUGACCGGCCACAUUGGGACUGAGAUACGGCCCAGACUCCUACGGGAGGCAGCAGUGGGGAAUAUUGCACAAUGGGCGGAAGCCUGAUGCAGCAACGCCGCGUGCGGGAUGACGGCCUUCGGGUUGUAAACCGCUUUCGCCUGUGACGAAGCGUGAGUGACGGUAAUGGGUAAAGAAGCACCGGCUAACUACGUG
This 468-nucleotide ribosomal RNA is filed under the name uncultured bacterium. RNAcentral describes it as "partial 16S ribosomal RNA". It matches the Rfam family "Bacterial small subunit ribosomal RNA", at positions 28 to 507 of the family's 1533-position model. The record is from RNAcentral.